Molecule: ribosomal RNA, 301 nt
Filed under: uncultured bacterium
Lineage: Bacteria
Description: partial 16S ribosomal RNA
Rfam family: Bacterial small subunit ribosomal RNA
Source: RNAcentral
CAGUAGCCGCGGGAAUACGUAGGUGGCAAGCGUUGUCCGGAAUUAUUGGGCGUAAAGCGCGCGCAGGUGGUUUAAUAAGUCUGAUGUGAAAGCCCACGGCUCAACCGUGGAGGGUCAUUGGAAACUGUUAAACUUGAGUGCAGGAGAGAAAAGUGGAAUUCCUAGUGUAGCGGUGAAAUGCGUAGAGAUUAGGAGGAACACCAGUGGCGAAGGCGACUUUUUGGCCUGUAACUGACACUGAGGCGCGAAAGCGUGGGGAGCAAACAGGAUUAGAUACCCCUGUAGUCCCUGUCUCUUAUAC